This 484-nucleotide ribosomal RNA is filed under the name uncultured bacterium. RNAcentral describes it as "partial 16S ribosomal RNA". It matches the Rfam family "Bacterial small subunit ribosomal RNA", at positions 30 to 507 of the family's 1533-position model. The record is from RNAcentral.
AUUGAACGCUGGCGGCAGGCCUAACACAUGCAAGUCGAGCGGAUGAAGGGAGCUUGCUCCUGGAUUCAGCGGCGGACGGGUGAGUAAUGCCUAGGAAUCUUCCUGGUAGUGGGGGAUAACGUCCGGAAACGGGCGCUAAUACCGCAUAAGUCCUGAGGGAGAAAGUGGGGGAUCUUCGGACCUCACGCUGUCAGAUGAGCCUAGGUCGGAUUAGCUAGUUGGUGGGGUAAAGGCCUACCAAGGCGACGAUCCGUGAAUGAUCUGAGAGGAUGAUCAGUCGCACUGGAACUGGGACACGGUCCAGACUACUACGGGAGGCAGCAGUGGGGAAUAUUGGACAAUGGGCGAAAGCCUGAUCCAGCCAUGCCGCGUGUGUGAAGAAGGUCUUCGGAUUGUAAAGCACUUUAAGUUGGGAGGAAGGGCAGUAAGUUAAGACCUUGCUGUUUUGACGGUACCAACAGAAUAAGCACCGGCUAACUUCGUG